Long non-coding RNA from Canis lupus familiaris (dog), 1916 nucleotides. RefSeq lists it as uncharacterized. Lineage: Eukaryota; Metazoa; Chordata; Mammalia; Carnivora; Canidae. The transcript has 2 exons. The record is from RefSeq and is a predicted model, not a curated record.
GACUCCAACUUGAACCAGUAGGAACAGCCACUGGGCACGGGUGGCAGGGACAGGCAGCAGGCGGCAGGAAGGCAGGGAUGAAGCCUUAGUCUGGGAAAACUGCAAACCCUCAAGGCCGCCGUCUUCACCUUCUGACUUGGUCAAAUGGAAUCACCCCUCUACGGCCCACCACCUGGCCUCCCCCAAACAAACCUCUUCUCCUUCCGGGGCUGGAAAGAAGAGGUUCAUUUCACCUCCUCAUCUCAGGGUCUCAAUUCUACUGUCCCUCCAAACCUGAGGCAACCCCAGUUGAGAAGACUGCCUGCACUGCAAGCAGUACAGCCUCUUCCAAGAACAGUAAAGUGCGUCUACAUCUGUGCCCUCUCGGCCUACAUGGAAGGAGCACCGACCCCGUUCACCCAUCCAAGAAGCACUUCCUGAGAGCCUAGGGGACAGAGGACUGUGAAUUAAAAAAAGGCAAGGUCUACAUUCUCAAGCAGGGGGUCAGAUGGAUGAUACACAAAGAUAAAAGCUGAAGGUCAGAGCCAAAGAUAAGCGUAAGCAGGUCCAUGCUGGCACAUUCCUCCUUUGGUGCAAGGUAUUCCCACCCCUCCCCUCCCAAGCCCCCGAGCGCACAAAAUGAAUGUGCCCCAAAUGGCUGUCCAGCGUCACCCCUCCGGGCUCACUCGCGGGCCCCGGGCUCCGCCGAACAAUCGGGGCUUCUGGAGGCAGGCCGAGCAGGCGCAUUCUCAUGUGCAGAGCCCACAGCGCCCUUCUCAGCUGAUUGUGUCCAAGCGGCCGGGGUCUCCGAGGCGCAUGAAUGCCCUUGAAUGGACCCAUUCAGACUGACAGACAGGAGCUGAAAGCUGCACACACACAAAAGCCACUGGGCAGCCGAGAGGACUCCAGCCCACUCCACAAAGGGCGGUGCAGACUUCUCUACAGUUUCAACGGCAUCUCUGGGCACCAACUACACGGUACCCCUCUGACUCCGAGUGGGUGACAGCAGCCGACCGUGGCCGAGCACGGAGGAGGCCGGGGGGAGAGGUAGAAAUUAAAAGCCAACCAACAAUAAAUAAACAGAAUACCCUUUUCUUGACCAGUGAGAUGGGGCUCCGGGCCAGAGGAGCCGAAGGGCGCCUCCGUGUGCCUAUCCUGUACACUGGUUAGGGCUGCAUUCCUGACACCCACGGUGACCUUUAAGGACUCCGGCUGACCUGAGAUUGUUUAACAUGUCACUAAGAAAAAUGAUCUCGAAAGGGCGCAGCCACUAUUUAAAUGACGAUUGGAAAAACCUGGCCCCAUUCUUGUGCCACUCGGUAUUUUCCAGGGGGAGAAAAAUCUCUGAACCGACAUUUGUAGUUUGAAAUAGGACUUGGAAGGGGAGAGAACCACCCACCUGGAAUUCUUUUAAUUGCUUCAAGGGGAGGGCAGCCUCUGCCAGUCAGAGGAGCAGAGAAGUCUGUUUACACUGUUGCGCACAAAUAUUGUACGUUCACAGUCAGGUGGCUACUCUUGGAAACGCUGAUUCUCAGCUCCCAAGAUCACAUUACUUUAGAAACAACCCCCCAAAAAGAUAAUUAAAGAUAGUUCCUCCUCAUAAUGCAAUACUAUAAAGAGCAAUUAAAAUUAAAUUAGCUUGUCAUAGUAAAAAAGAUGGAUGAUAUUCUUAGGCUUCCCGACCCGGAGCUGGUAAUUCAUGGAGAAAAGGAAGAAGUCUAUGAGUGAGUAGCAGUUUUACUACAGAAAUAUUAAAUGUUCAGAUAAAUUCUGUGAACAAAUCAAGAUAACAGGAGACAGGUAUGUACCCUGGCACAAUUAUUGGUUUUCUUACAUUUACUUCAUUUUUUAAAUAAAACAAUAAUUCAAACAUAUAAAAAGGACAGAGAAAAACCUAAAAACCAAUAAACUCAUCAACCCAAAUUCACAAAUGGUAA